This is a long non-coding RNA of Trachemys scripta elegans, 341 nucleotides long. RefSeq lists it as uncharacterized. NCBI's taxonomy places the organism in Eukaryota, Metazoa, Chordata, Testudines, Emydidae. The transcript is spliced from 2 exons. The record is from RefSeq and is a predicted model, not a curated record.
CUGACAGCUCGGGGGCCAAAACUGUCUCUCUGACUCAUUGUCAGUAGGCAAAAAGUAUCACAAAGGCUAGAGACAGCUUUUACUCUCAGGUCUUGUGACAACAUUGAGGAAGAGAGACAGACAACCAGCUCUUUCUGAAGUGACAGCUUGGGAGCAUUUUAACAUCUGGUAUUUGCAGGUCUUCUUUUUAGGUUAACCAUCAGCCACUAUGUAUUUUCAUUGUGUGUGUCUGUGUGCGGGUUGCAUGAUAUAGGUUCCUGUGUUAUGAAGAGGGCUGGAGCCUUUAAAACAACAUUGCUGCCCUGAAGGUCAGACAGAAACCACCGUUUUCCUCAAGGAAC